UUGACCUCGGAUCAAGAGGGAUACC
This 25-nucleotide ribosomal RNA is filed under the name Diplodina coloradensis. RNAcentral describes it as "partial 28S ribosomal RNA". Lineage: Eukaryota; Fungi; Ascomycota; Sordariomycetes; Diaporthales; Gnomoniaceae. The record is from RNAcentral.